UGAGGAAUAUUGGUCAAUGGACGCAAGUCUGAACCAGCCAUGCCGCGUGCAGGAUGAAGGUGCUAUGCAUUGUAAACUGCUUUUGUACGAGGGUAAAUGCAGGUACGUGUACCUGUUUGAAAGUAUCGUACGAAUAAGGGUCGGCUAACUCCGUGCCAGCAGCCGCGGUAAUACGGAGGACCCGAGCGUUAUCCGGAUUUAUUGGGUUUAAAGGGUGCGUAGGCGGAUUAGUAAGUUAGAGGUGAAAGCUCGAUGCUCAACAUCGAAAUUGCCUCUGAUACUGUUAGUCUAGAGUAUAGUUGCGGAAGGCGGAAUGUGUGGUGUAGCGGUGAAAUGCUUAGAUAUCACACAGAACACCGAUUGCGAAGGCAGCUUUCCAAGCUAUUACUGACGCUGAUGCACGAAAGCGUGGGGAGCGAACA
RNAcentral lists this ribosomal RNA (422 nucleotides) under uncultured bacterium. Its description in RNAcentral is "bacterial SSU rRNA". It matches the Rfam family "Bacterial small subunit ribosomal RNA", at positions 355 to 774 of the family's 1533-position model. The record is from RNAcentral.